GGUUGACCUCGGCGGAGGGAGGACU
RNAcentral lists this ribosomal RNA (25 nucleotides) under fungal endophyte sp. AP507. RNAcentral's name for it is "partial 28S ribosomal RNA". The record is from RNAcentral. Lineage: Eukaryota; Fungi.